AUUGAACGCUGGCGGCAUGCCUUACACAUGCAAGUCGAACGGUAACGGGCCUUCGGUUGCCGAUUCGCUGCCAAGGGGCGGGUAAUACAUCGAAACGUGCCCGAUCGCGGGGGAGAACGGGGCGACAGCUUGGCUCAUAACCCAUACCAGCUACGCGUGACAGCAGGGGACCGCGAGACCUUGCGCCGACUGGCCGGCCGAUGGCAGAUUAGGUAGUUGGUGGGAUAAAAGCUUACCAAGCCGACGAUCCGUAGCUGGUCUGAGAGGAUGAUCAGCCACACUGGGACUGAGACACGGCCCAGACUCCUACGGGAGGCAGCAGUGGGGAAUAUUGGACAAUGGGCGCAAGCCUGAUCCAGCCAUGCCGCGUGCAGGAUGAAGGCCUUCGGGUUGUAAACUGCUUUUGUCCGGAACGAAAAGCGUUCUUUUAAUACAGGAGCGUCAUGACGGUACCGGAAGAAUAAGCACCGGCUAACUACGUG
This 482-nucleotide ribosomal RNA is filed under the name uncultured bacterium. RNAcentral's name for it is "partial 16S ribosomal RNA". It matches the Rfam family "Bacterial small subunit ribosomal RNA", at positions 30 to 507 of the family's 1533-position model. The record is from RNAcentral.